RNAcentral lists this ribosomal RNA (937 nucleotides) under Cortinarius viscoviridis. RNAcentral describes it as "LSU rRNA". It matches the Rfam family "Eukaryotic large subunit ribosomal RNA", at positions 37 to 961 of the family's 3401-position model. The record is from RNAcentral. Lineage: Eukaryota; Fungi; Basidiomycota; Agaricomycetes; Agaricales; Cortinariaceae.
AGCAUAUCAAUAAGCGGAGGAAAAGAAACUAACAAGGAUUCCCCUAGUAACUGCGAGUGAAGCGGGAAAAGCUCAAAUUUAAAAUCUGUCAGUCUUUGACUGUCCGAGUUGUAAUCUAGAGAAGUGUUAUCCGCGCUGGACCGUGUACAAGUCUCCUGGAAUGGAGCAUCAUGGAGGGUGAGAAUCCCGUCUUUGACAUGGACUGCCAGGGCUUUGUGAUGCGCUCUCAAAGAGUCGAGUUGUUUGGGAAUGCAGCUCAAAAUGGGUGGUAAAUUCCAUCUAAAGCUAAAUAUUGGCGAGAGACCGAUAGCGAACAAGUACCGUGAGGGAAAGAUGAAAAGAACUUUGGAAAGAGAGUUAAACAGUACGUGAAAUUGCUGAAAGGGAAACGCUUGAAGUCAGUCGCGUUGUCCAGGGAUCAACCUUGCUUUUGCUUGGUGUACUUUCUGGUUGACGGGUCAGCAUCAAUUUUGACUAUUGGAAAAAGAUUAGGGGAAUGUGGCAUCUUCGGAUGUGUUAUAGCCCUUGGUUGCAUACAAUGGUUGGGAUUGAGGAACUCAGCACGCCGCAAGGCCGGGUUUUAACCACGUACGUGCUUAGGAUGCUGGCAUAAUGGCUUUAAUCGACCCGUCUUGAAACACGGACCAAGGAGUCUAACAUGCCUGCGAGUGUUUGGGUGGAAAACUCGAGCGCGCAAUGAAAGUGAAAGUUGAGAUCCCUGUCGUGGGGAGCAUCGACGCCCGGACCAGACCUUUUGUGACGGAUCCGCGGUAGAGCAUGUAUGUUGGGACCCGAAAGAUGGUGAACUAUGCCUGAAUAGGGUGAAGCCAGAGGAAACUCUGGUGGAGGCUCGUAGCGAUUCUGACGUGCAAAUCGAUCGUCAAAUUUGGGUAUAGGGGCGAAAGACUAAUCGAACCAUCUAGUAGCUGGUUCCUGC